Molecule: ribosomal RNA, 2477 nt
Filed under: marine metagenome
Description: bacterial LSU rRNA
Rfam family: Bacterial large subunit ribosomal RNA
Source: RNAcentral
AGGGCAUAUGGGGGAUAUCUUGGUGUGCAGUAUGAAGAAGGACGUGGACAGCUGCGAUAAGCUUCGGGGAGCCGCUACAGGCGUUAAUCCGGAGAUUUCCGAAUGGGGAAACCCGCAUAGAGUCAUGUCUAUGCAUCCUUAUCUGAACACAUAGGGUAAGGAAAGCGACCUGGAGAACUGAAACAUCUAAGUAACCAGAGGAAUAGAAAUCAAUUGAGAUUUCCUUAGUAGCGGCGAGCGAACGGGAAAUAGCCCAAACCUUUAGUGUGUAAGCUUACAGGCGUUGCAUUAAGGGUGUUGUAGGGCAUUCUAGGUAUAGCUGUAAAUGUACCAGUAAGUCAGAAAAUAUUAGAUUAGUAGAAUAAGCUGGAAAGCUUAGCCAAAGAAGGUGAUAGCCCUGUAUACGAAAGUCUUUUAUCUUACAGAAUGUUCCUGAGUACCGUCGGACACGAGAAAUCCUGCGGGAACCCGGGUGGACCAUCAUCCAAGGCUAAAUAUGACUGUGCGACCGAUAGUGAACAAGUACCGUGAGGGAAAGAUGAAAAGAACCCCGGAAGGGGAGUGAAAUAGAACAUGAAACCAUAUGCUUACAAGCAGUCGGAGGUACAUAUGUACUGACGGCGUGCCUAUUGAAGAAUGUGCCGGCGACUUAAUGUCAGUUGCAAGGUUAAGUUUUUAUACGGAGCCGUAGCGAAAGCGAGUCUGAAUAGGGCGAAAGUAGCUGGCAUUAGACCCGAAACCUAGUGAUCUAUCCAUGGGCAGGAUGAAGCGAAAGUAACAUUUCGUGGAGGUCCGAACCGUUGUAUGUUGAAAAAUGCUCGGAUGACCUGUGGAUAGUGGUGAAAUGCUAAUCGAACUAGGAGAUAUCUGGCUCUCCCCGAAAUGACUUUAGGGUCAGCCUUGAGAUUUAAUCAUUAUGGAGGUAGAGCACUGUUAAGGCUAGGGGGAUCACCAAUCUUACCAAACCUUGGCAAACUCCGAAUGCCAUAAUGUACUACUCAGGAGUGAGUCUUAGGGGGCUAAGCUCCUAAGACAAAAGGGAAACAACCCAGACCGUCAGUUAAGGUCCCUAAUAUAUGCUAAGUGGGAAAGGAAGUGAAGUUGCUUAAACAGCCAGGAGGUUGGCUUAGAAGCAGCCAUCCUUUAAAGAAAGCGUAACAGCUCACUGGUUUAGUGAUUUUGCGCCGAAAAUGUAACGGGGCUAAGCAUAUAACCGAAGCUACGGGAUUGCUUGCAAUCGGUAGGGGAGCGUUCUGUACUAGGCUGAAGAUAAAUCGUGAGAUUUGUUGGACGAAUCAGAAGUGAGAAUGUCGGCAUGAGUAACGAAAAGAUAAGUGAGAAUCUUAUCCGCCGAAAACCUAAGGUUUCCUGGGGAAGGCUCGUCCACCCAGGGUUAGUCGGACCUAAGUCGAGGCCGAAAGGCGUAGUCGAUGGACAACAGGUUAAUAUUCCUGUACCACUAAAAGUGCGUUAUCAGCAAAGGGGUGACGCAGUAGGAUAGGUCAGCCACUUAUUGGAUUGUGGUUUAAGCAUGUAGGAGGAAGAGAAUUGGCAAAUCCGUCUCUUCGUUAACUCUGAGGUGUUAUGACGAGGUGCUUGCACUGAAGUGAUCGACUCCACACUGACCAGAAAAACCUCUAGUGAGUGCUUUUGGUGCCCGUACUAAAACCGACACAGGUAGGUAGGUAGAGAAUACUAAGGCGCGCGAGCUAACUCUCGUUAAGGAACUCUGCAAAUUGGCCUCGUAACUUCGGGAGAAGAGGUGCCUAGGUAACGUGAAGACACUUGCUGUUGGAGCGUGAAUAGGUUGCAAUAAAAUGACUCAAACGACUGUUUAUCAAAAACACAGGUCCAUGCCAAACCGUAAGGUGAUGUAUAUGGGCUGACGCCUGCCCAGUGCUGGAAGGUUAAUAGGAGGUGUCAAUCUUCGGAUGAAGCACCGAAUUGAAGCCCCAGUGAACGGCGGCCGUAACUAUAACGGUCCUAAGGUAGCGAAAUUCCUUGUCGGGUAAGUUCCGACCCGCACGAAAGGCGUAACGAUUUGAGUACUGUCUCAACGAGAGGCUCGGUGAAAUUGGAGCAUGCGUGAAGAUACGCAUUACCUAUAGCAGGACAGAAAGACCCCGUGGAGCUUUACUGUAGCUUGGCUUUGUAAUUUGGUUUAAUUUGUGCAGGAUAGGUGGGAGACUUUGAAGCAAAAACGUCAGUUUUUGUGGAGUCAACCUUGAGAUACCACCCUGAUUACAUUGAAUUACUAACUGUCGUCCGUUAUCCGGAGACAAGACAGAGUCUGGUGGGCAGUUUGACUGGGGCGGUCGCCUCCUAAACAGUAACGGAGGCGCUCAAAGGUUCCCUCAAAACGGUUGGAAACCGUUUGUAGAGCGUAAGGGUAUAAGGGAGCUUGACUGCAAGACCUACAAGUCGAGCAGGGACGAAAGUCGGACCUAGUGAUCCGGUGACUCCGUAUGGAAGGGUCA